CGAACGGGUGAGUAACGCGUGAGGAACCUGCCUCAAAGAGGGGGACAACAGUUGGAAACGACUGCUAAUACCGCAUAAGCCCACGACCCGGCAUCGGGUAGGGGGAAAAGGAGCAAUCCGCUUUGAGAUGGCCUCGCGUCCGAUUAGCUAGUUGGUGAGGUAAUGGCCCACCAAGGCGACGAUCGAUAGCCGGACUGAGAGGUUGAACGGCCACAUUGGGACUGAGACACGGCCCAG
Molecule: ribosomal RNA, 237 nt
Filed under: uncultured bacterium
Lineage: Bacteria
Description: partial 16S ribosomal RNA
Rfam family: Bacterial small subunit ribosomal RNA
Source: RNAcentral